UGCCUCAUAAUUUCUACAUUUAAUUCUGACAUAUGAUAAUUAAGGAAAUAGUGGAAACUGAAGAGAUUGUUAAGAGUCUUAAAGAAGAAAGACUCUCCAUCUUCUUUAAUGCAUAAAAGAGGGCGGGUGGCAUUAAUUUUGGUGUGGACACUAGGGUGGCAUGGAGGAAUCCUUCUACACUUGAAACUCUUCCAAGUUAGGUAGGAGUCCA
RNAcentral lists this long non-coding RNA (211 nucleotides) under Elaeis guineensis (African oil palm). Its description in RNAcentral is "long non-coding RNA (EGUI_LNC061394)". The record is from RNAcentral. Lineage: Eukaryota; Viridiplantae; Streptophyta; Magnoliopsida; Arecales; Arecaceae.